Molecule: long non-coding RNA, 2432 nt
Filed under: Androctonus crassicauda
Lineage: Eukaryota; Metazoa; Arthropoda; Arachnida; Scorpiones; Buthidae
Source: RNAcentral
GCAUAAUUCUGUCGAUCUUUGUUGUGGGGAUGUUUAAUUUUUGAAUCGGGGCUUGUUCGCUGAUCACCCUGUAUAUAUUGUUAAUCAGAAAAACGCCAUUUCUGGAAGUCAUCCCACCAUUCGAACAGUUGCGAUUCUGCUGUUAUUAUCUUUUUAUUUAUAUUAUACAUAAAUUCCGUGUUCGGUUUAAUAUCUUAAAAAAUCGUCGGAUAGGCCGAAAAAUCGAAGAUCGAUUAUUCGACAAUCUGUCAAUAAUAUUGGUUUCGUAUCCUCCCCGCUAUCCGACCAUAAUCUUCGAUUCGAUGAUGAUAAAACCGUUUUUCUCAUAGUUACGGUUUUCGUCGUCUUGGUUCUGAGAUUUCUUUUCGAUCCUGUCAUAAGCCUCUAGUUGUGAUGAAGAACGAAAAUCUUAUAUUCGAGAAACACACUUUCUCAGUAUUUCUACCAGAAUCGGUACAGCGAUGGAAAUUUCUCGGAUCUGUUAUUACCACUUCGGCUGCAACUGGGUUUAAGGCUGAUGUACCGAUUCGUAUUAGAUACGCGGUUCUUAUACAUUCAGUAGCAUCCGAUUAUUUAAUUAAAAUUUUAAGCGAUAAACUGAAUAAAUCGGUGCCUGCUAUUGGAAGAUUAAUGUUUUAGAAAAUGCUCCCAUUUAUGAUAAAUGCGCUAUAAUUGGUAGCCACAGCUGGAAACGCGCAAUAAAAGCUGGCCAUCAUGCGUUUCCAGUUGUGGUCACCAAAUCAAACAAUGUGACCAUCAAAUCAAAUACGUCGAACGAUAUUUAAAGGGAAUCGUACUGGGAAACCGAUUUUCGACUGACAUCCCAUAAUCCAAAUUAAUCUAACUUGUAAGUUACUAAAACUUUAUACUUAUACCGAAAUACGUACGCUAUGGGAAAUAUCUCGUACUUUUGACAUCAGAGACGCCGAUGCAUAUUAUAAUGGCGACUAUUCGAUGGAUAUCGAAUAUUCGCCAUCAUAAUAGCCUAGUUUAUCGUGAUGGAUUUCUAGUUUAUCGUGUUUCGCUGUCACGUAUAGGGACCUGUUUGGGGAAUGGGUGGUGCGCUUUUGAGUAUUUUUUUGUAAAUUCUGUCUCGAUUUUCUAAUAAAUAAAUAAUAAACUGGCCGUCGCUUAACCCAGCGUGGUUCUUCCGGUCUUAGCCCCCUUACACGCCUAUAACUCUCGUCACCUCGGCUGGGGUCAAAACUUUCCUUAUCGAUACGCUAAAAUACACCGACAGAGGGCCAGAGGGGCGUCCGGAAACACUUUCCAUCUCUAAAAGAGAUAGAAAACGUUUCCGGAUAAGUACGUGGCAUUGACACCCUGUCCCGUACUUAUACGUUUCCGGAUAAGUACGGGACUUUGAUACCCCCUAAAUCCCUGAUUUUCGAAAUUGAUAUGAAUUAAUUUUGAAAAUCAGGGGGACCGUCAGUCAUCUACUAGCGGCACCGAAUGUUUACCAGCCCAUAUAUUACCCCUUGUCUUCUACUGGUGGUGGAGCUAUUUCGGCCUGUAUCCAUGACCAAGAAAGGACAAAACACGUUUGUCUAGUUACUACUUUUUAUUCGUUCCUUCGUUAGACGUUUUACCUCUACCGUGUACACAAUGCCACGGUAUAGAAUACGAUAGGAAGAUUUAACAUUUUCCGUUUACUUCCACAUUUCCACUAAAUCCAAAUGUUACCGUCCUUCAAAAAUUUAUCGCGUUUAGCACUAGCUACUCUUUUAGUAAGUCGACUGUCUAUAAGUAUCUCUGAUUUUAAUAACAUUGCUAGUAACCGCACGAUGUCGAACAUCCGUAUACUUCGACCUGUUACCAAAUACUGGAUUUAUUGGCAUCUUUUAUCCUUUUUAUUCGACUUAAGAUCAUGGUUUUUAGUUUUCUUUAAAUAUUUCAAAAUUCUUUUUGCAUAUUUUCCCCGUGUUUCCUAGAAACUAUUAUUAAAUUGUUAACUAUUGAUAAGCCCGAUCUGUAUCGGCAUUUCUAUCAAAAUUUAUAUCGAUCUCCCUUAGAGUGUCCAUUUUUUUGUCUUCGAUGGUGUGAAAUUUCUUCCAUUCUGGGUUUACGCGAUGCUCUCCAUCCAAGGAUAUUAAUUAAUAUUUUUACUUUUAUUAACAUAUUAUUUUCGUACAAACAUUGGACUACCUAGGUCUUUAAUUUUGAGUCGCAACCUUAAUUGAUGUUUUACCAAAAUUUUCUCGCGGCCGGAUGGCCAUGUGGUAACGCUUUGGCUUACCUCGCUGAAGGACCCGGGUCCGGCUAUCUCUUGAAAAGUUUUUUCGGGGCACGGCCCGACUAUCCUCGUUCUACACCAUCCGGUCCCCCUCCACGGGUAUGGUUGCAGCCUGUGGUUAGAACUGGCUUCUCCCCUUAGUAAUCUCACUGAUUGGAAAGGGUCCUAAAAAUACAAAAAAACCAAAAUUUUCUCAACG